AGAAAUCUAGCCAUCUACGUACUGAAGUAGAGUGAAUUGUAUAACUACUCGUAUAUAGACUAGAAGGAAUUAAUGUAGUAUCCAUUAGCCAUGCCUUUCAUAUUGGAUAUGAAUUGUCAGUUGAGGCAGAAUACUCAAAGAGAUUACUACAAGAAGAGCUAAGAGUUUCCAGGCUACCUGUGUCAUUCUUGAUAGGUAAGACACAAGAACAACGGAAGAUGGAAGUUGUGAAGACCCUACUUAAUAUUGGUUUCUCGCAGCUAGAUUUUCACAUAUUCUAGGAAUCUUGUAUUGUAGAACCUUUGCAACUUGUGUACACUAAUUCUUGACUUAUGAAACAAUAUUCUAUAUUUUGCUUUUAUAUGUGAAACAAUAUCCUCUCGUGAUUUAUACAA
Molecule: non-coding RNA, 395 nt
Organism: Nicotiana tabacum (common tobacco)
Lineage: Eukaryota; Viridiplantae; Streptophyta; Magnoliopsida; Solanales; Solanaceae
Source: RefSeq, a predicted model, not a curated record